Molecule: long non-coding RNA, 399 nt
Organism: Rosa chinensis
Lineage: Eukaryota; Viridiplantae; Streptophyta; Magnoliopsida; Rosales; Rosaceae
Exons: 3
Source: RefSeq, a predicted model, not a curated record
CUUACACGAUUGCUUUUCCUAUUGUUGAAUUAAGAUUGCUUCUCUUAGUCUACGAGCAAGUUUUUGUUGUUUCAAUGAUUAACGAGGAAAUUUAUUGGUCUAAACAAUAGCAUUAUAGGACUAGUUGUUUAAGAUUUCGCGAGUAUCAUUUGCGUCCCAAAAUUUCAGAACAAAAUAAUUUCAAUUUGCACAUUUUCUCUGGUUGUGUAUAGGUCAUAGUGCGCAAGAUUAUGUUCUUGAUCUUGAUAACCAACAACGGGGGGCAAGGGAGUAUUUGAAGUAUCGCAUUGAGGAUUUGAAAAAUCUGCAGCGCAAACAUAAGACGAUAGAAGAUCAUUUUCAUACAAACAGCAUAGGAAUGAAAGAAGAAAUUGAUGCAACUUAUAAAAUCUUAGAAGG